RNAcentral lists this ribosomal RNA (494 nucleotides) under uncultured bacterium. RNAcentral describes it as "partial 16S ribosomal RNA". It matches the Rfam family "Bacterial small subunit ribosomal RNA", at positions 28 to 507 of the family's 1533-position model. The record is from RNAcentral.
GACGAACGCUGGCGGCGCGCUUAACACAUGCAAGUCGAACGGAAAGGCCUGCUUUCCCUUGUGGAUUGCGGGUACUCGAGUGGCGAACGGGUGAGUAACACGUGAGUGAUCUGCCCCCAACUUGGGUAUAAGCCUGGGAAACUGGGUCUAAUUCCCGAUAGGACUGCAGGGUGGUGCCUGUGGUGGAAAACGAUUUUCUAGUGGUUGGGGAUGAGCUCGCGGCCUAUCAGCUUGUUGGUGGGGUAAUGGCCUACCAAGGCGGCGACGGGUAGCCGGCCUGGGAGGAUGGACGGCCGCAUUGGGACUGAGAUACGGCCCAGACUGCUACGGGAGGCAGCAGUGGGGAAUAGAGCACAAUGGGCGGAAGCCUGAUGCAGCGACGCCGCGUGGGGGAUGACGGGCUUCGGGUUGUAAUCUCCUUUCGACCGCGAGGAAGCCACCUGGUUGGAAGGGUGGUGACGGUAGUGGUAGAAGAAGCACCGGCUAACUACGUG